CGCUCCGUGCAGCCUUUCCGUUACUCUCCGGCAGUUAUCCCGUUCUGGGUGCUCGUGUAGCUUGGAGGGCACCGAGGUUACCGAGCGGAAAAGCGAGGUGCCCGCUGCCCAGAAGCGGAUGCGAGGCCCCCUGAGCCCGCAGUUGACGGCGGUGCCCUCGUUCCCGCCCUGCUCGCCGCCUCUCCCGGCGCCGCUCUUCCCACGGCCGGUGGCCGAGGCCGCGCCGAUGAACCCGGCUCAGGAGGAAAGUCUCUAACUGAAGACAAGGGUUUGAUAGACUACGGACAUUGGUUUGUACAUUCAGAUCACUUCAAACUGACCCCUAAGAUAUGUCAGUAAUUGGUUUAAUCUAGAGAGACAUUCUAUAUUGCUUCUUGCUUUAACUAGUGCAGAACAGACUGAGGGCGAGGAAGACAAGAAGGAGCCCAUCCCAGAAGCAAUUGCAUUCAUCCAGGUGAGUGUUGGUUGUGGCAGGACCAGAGUGGUGGGUGUGGAGGUAGGAGAAACACUUGGCCUCUGGAUUUGUUUUGAAGUGGGGGCUGACCAGCUGUUGUAAUGUGGAGGGGUCACAGAUGACUCUAAAGUCCCCUUUGCAUCUGGAAGAGUGGAUGCGCCACGAGCUGAGAUGGGGAAGUCAGUGGUAGGAGUACUUUCUAAUGAGAAUAUUAGGAAUUGGGUUUUGGCCUUGUUGAGGUUCACAUGUUCCAGAGACUCCACAGUAUAGGAGACCAGUAUAGAGCUGAACAGGUAGGUCUUGAGGACAUGCAGAAGGGGGUUGUCACAAAGUCAAGGAAGAGGAAUGGUCAUCAGCAAGAAAGUAGGGAGAAGGAGAAGGGAAAGUCCAGCAGGAAGCUAAGGUUUUCAUGGCUCGGAAUUAGUCCAGAGGGUUCCAUUAGUCUCAGCCCUUCUCUGCUAAGUGGACCUCUGGGCUCCAGGUUCUGCCCCCUCCUAGUUGACGUUUCCUGGGACCUCACUGUAUUGGGAGUUGUUGGGACCCAACAGUGUCCCUGUCUGUGGGGUCCACCUGGCUGUCUCUGUGAGGACACCCCCCCCCCCACAGAGAUUCGUUUUGUGGUGGUAUUUUUCUUUCCCGAGAUUGUUUGGGAUUGGUUGUCCUCCUGGGCCAGUACUGACCACUCACCUGUCCUGUCUUUCCCUUAGGACUUGCAUCUUCUGGGUCCCAUGUUGUCCAGCUAGAGCUGAGAGGGAGUGGACAUGGCUCAAGGCACAGCAAGAGGGCCUCAGAGUGGGCCUGGCCCUGGUGAUUCACAUCUGGGGGAGGAUGUGAUGUCACAGCUGGGUUCACAUCAUACCAGGAACAUGUCCUGUGCCCAGCACUGUUUGGGUGUGUUGCACCCCAACCUUGAGUCUUUUGCCUGGCGAGUCCUCCCUGUUCUGAGACAUGUAGCGGCCCAGAACCUGCAAAGCAGCCCUUUCCUACCCUGCCCCUCCCCCUUGUCCUAAAACUAGUCCCAUGGACUUAUUCCCUGGUAUGUUGGAACACAUAUCUGUGAUGGGGCUGCCCCCUUUCUACCAAAAUCUGCAUGAGUUCACUUUUAUUUCUCUACUUUUAGGCUGCUGACAUGGAGCUGAGGACCAGUAGACACCUUCUGGGCAGAAUAUUUCUGUAGAAGUGCCUCAGAUACAUCCUUCAACGGCAGACUUGUCCACCCAGACGACCUGUCCCUGGGAGAGGUGUAGGCUGGACUUAGAAUUUAUGAAGAGCUGCACAGUCCCUGCUUCCACAUUGUCCUCACAUUGCGGGAAGCUGGGGAGGAUUUCCCUGGUAGCUCUGGCCUUCCCCCUCCCAGCAGCCCUGGGAUCUAUUUGCUUUCCUUUAACAAAGACUUUGCCUGCUUGCUGCCUGUGUGUUCCCAGAGUUCAUUUCUUUGACUGCCCUGAUCAGGAACCCGGAUUCCCAUAUCUUUCUGUUGGUAUCUUUUGGGGACUAGUCUGGGAUCCAAUCCAAUACAUCUGCACUCAUAA
Phacochoerus africanus (Common warthog) is the source of this 1986-nucleotide long non-coding RNA. RefSeq lists it as uncharacterized. The transcript has 3 exons. Lineage: Eukaryota; Metazoa; Chordata; Mammalia; Artiodactyla; Suidae. The record is from RefSeq and is a predicted model, not a curated record.